This 482-nucleotide ribosomal RNA is filed under the name uncultured bacterium. Its description in RNAcentral is "partial 16S ribosomal RNA". It matches the Rfam family "Bacterial small subunit ribosomal RNA", at positions 30 to 507 of the family's 1533-position model. The record is from RNAcentral.
AUUGAACGCUGGCGGCAUGCCUUACACAUGCCAGUCGAACGGUAACGGGCCUUCGGGUGCCGACGAGUGGCGAACGGGUGAGUAAUACAUCGGAACGUGCCCGAUCGUGGGGGGUAACGAGGCGAAAGCUUUGCUAAUACCGCAUACGAUCUACGGAUGAAAGCAGGGGACCGCAAGGCCUUGCGCGGACGGAGCGGCCGAUGGCAGAUUAGGUAGUUGGUGGGAUAAAAGCUUACCAAGCCGACGAUCUGUAGCUGGUCGGAGAGGAUGAUCAGCCACACUGGGACUGAGACACGGCCCAGACUCCUACGGGAGGCAGCAGUGGGGAAUGUUGGACAAUGGGCGCAAGCCUGAUCCAGCCAUGCCGCGUGCAGGAUGAAGGCCUUCGGGUUGUAAACUGCUUUUGUACGGAACGAAAAGCCUUCUUUUAAUACAGGAGGGUCAUGACGGUACCGUAAGAAUAAGCACCGGCUAACUACGUG